AGGGAUGAGGCGGGAGGCGCUGUUUCCGCGGCCCGCCAGUGUCACCCGCCCCUCCUGGGGUUCGGACAGAGGGACAGCCGGACAGGAGGUCCAGAGGCUAGAAAUCCGAAAAGAAGGUGUUGGCAGGAUCCCGCUUCCCCUGCAACCGGAUGAGCUUCUCCUCCCGGGAAAGUGGACCAGAUGCCCUCAGCUUGUCCUCUGC
Molecule: long non-coding RNA, 202 nt
Organism: Eptesicus fuscus (big brown bat)
Lineage: Eukaryota; Metazoa; Chordata; Mammalia; Chiroptera; Vespertilionidae
Exons: 3
Source: RefSeq, a predicted model, not a curated record